CCAAUAGCGUAUAUUAAAGUUGUUGCAGUUAAAAAGCUCGUAGUUGAAUUUCAGAAUCAAUAUAUCGGUCGUGCCUUGGUACGUACUGGUAUCAUUGGUUUCUCCUUUCUGACGAACCAUGAUGUCAUUAAUUUGGUGUUGUGUGAAGUUAGGACUGUUACUUUGAAAAAAUUAGAGUGUUUAAAGCAGGCUUUGGCUUGAAUACAUUAGCAUGGAAUAAUGAAAUAGGACGUUCGAACCUAUUUUGUUGGUUUCUAGGAUCAACGUAAUGAUUAAUAGGGAUAGUUGGGGGCAGUAGUAUUCAAUUGUCAGAGGUGAAAUUCUUGGAUUUAUUGAAGACUAACUACUGCGAAAGCAUUUGCCAAGGAUGUUUUCAUUAAUCAAGAACGAAAGUUAGGGGAUCGAAGACGAUCAGAUACCGUCGUAGUCUUAACCAUAAACUAUGCCGACUAGGGAUCGGAUGAUGUUAAUUUUUUAAUGACUCAUUCGGCGCCUUACG
RNAcentral lists this ribosomal RNA (499 nucleotides) under uncultured Glomeromycotina. RNAcentral describes it as "partial small subunit ribosomal RNA". It matches the Rfam family "Eukaryotic small subunit ribosomal RNA", at positions 591 to 1092 of the family's 1831-position model. The record is from RNAcentral. Lineage: Eukaryota; Fungi; Glomeromycota.